RNAcentral lists this long non-coding RNA (3145 nucleotides) under Triticum aestivum (bread wheat). RNAcentral describes it as "long non-coding RNA (TAES_LNC025205)". Lineage: Eukaryota; Viridiplantae; Streptophyta; Magnoliopsida; Poales; Poaceae. The record is from RNAcentral.
AAUCCCCAACCAUAAUGGCUUGCCAAUGGCGACGGCGGUGUAGAUCUUGUACCUAGAUGGGCGACCUUGGCUACUCGAGGAAGCUUUCCAUCUCUGCCCCUAGAUGUACCUAGCUGGACGGCCUUGGCUAUUGGAGGAAUCUUGAUCGUCUCGUCGCCGGUGGUCGGGCUGCCCGGGCGGACCUCUCCUCUGCUGCGCCGCGACGCUGGCCGAGCCAAUCUCCAGGUACAGUUCCCCAAACGCCAAGGACAACCUCGAUCUACCAUUUGUCUUACCCCAUUGCAAUCGACAAGAUCUGCGGGUACUGUAUUCGGCGGCUGGUACUGCUCUAGUGCUACAGAUUUGCAGGCAUCAUUGCCACUGCAACAAACUGAACUCCCUGUAUCUAUGUCUCAGUAGCUUAACUCAACAAGGCUCCCCUCCCAGAUUUGUCACAUAAGAAUCAGCCAGAUAACCCUUUUUCUUGUUCAAUUGUACUAGUAGAAGGCACCACGUGCAAUUCAUGAUUUCUACCCUCGCUUACUCUUUAUUUGAAAAGAUAUGGCUUAUUCAGACGCUGCCAACGUUGCAUACUACAAUUCUUUUCAGUGAUAUAAAUUCCUGUUGAAGAUGUACACAACUUUAUUGUCCAAUCCGUUGGAAGUUCAGUGUAGAUAUGUUUUUUUUGCGGUGCCGAUGCGAUUGAUUUGCUAAAGUACUGGUUGUUUACCCGCUGAUUUGUGAGGGUUAAUUAUAGUCCGAUCCUCCAAUCAUUGAGAGCAGUGAAGUUCAGAAUAGCCACAACAGAUUUUAAAUAGCACACUUUUGCACAAGAACAAACCCAUUGAUAUUGUGAGUGAGAGCAUUUGGAGCCGCGAGGAUUCCAGAAAGGUCGCACAGUUGUUUUGGCACGUGUCCGUACAGAGUGAAUCCGAGUGAAUCCCAUAAAUGUUAGCUGUUGGAUCACUUGGGUUGCGUACUGGCGGACGAUGGAUAUUCAUCGUCUGGAACAAACCAAUGGCGUAUAAUUGCUCACGAGUCUUGGUAGAUAGCUAAAUCACAAGAGUAUUUUCUGGAGACCCCUUGCACAUGUGAUGGAAUGUAGAUGAAAAGAGCAUCAAAACUAAUAGACUGGAGUAUCAUUUUUGCGAAUAAAAGAUCAUUCAAUGGGUAACUAUCUUCCAAUUGGAUAUAUAGGUGUUUUUUCUUAUUCCCAGUCAGCUUGCUAUAUUUUGCUUGGACUAGAUUUUCGACCAAGUUGAUAUUGUGAAACUUCGUUAACUUGCUGGAACUGUACAUGAGAACGAACUAAUCUCAUCUACCUAUUAAAGUACUUGGAAGUUAAGUGCUUGUCAACACAAGACUGGAAUUUAUUGCACUUGCAAUAUGUACCACUUUACUGGUUUUUGAGAGUUUACAAUCUAUUUGUCCAGUAAUGGCACUGAAACCAAAAAUCAUUCUAGUUUCGCUAUAGUGAAACUAUUGUGUUGGCUCUUUCCUCUUCCUCAUUCAGUUGUAAUAACACACUGGUUGUAAAAAGUACCGCACCUUUGUUACCUUUUAUAUGUAAAAAUAAGUCUGCUUGUGUGCAUCUCUUUAAUUUGCAACCUUAACUUUGCAGUCUUGUAAUUGGGCAGAUGUCUUAUUUUGUUAUAUCAAGGUGACUAAACAAUCAGCUAUUUGGAUUUUGGAGCAGAACACAAUGUCUGGUUUGGGUAUGCUGGAUAGAUCACAGCUCGUCGACUACUAAGCUCGCCCCCGCUGUUCUGUUGGUGCAUCUCAAUCUGAAAUUGAGGGAAGUAGUGCGAUGUCACCUUUAGGAGGGCCCAUAGUUCCAAAAAUCGCAAACUGUGUACCAACACUAUCAGGUGAGAACACACGGUCCAAAAAGGCCAAUGCUAUUCAUAAAAUUUCAUUUAAAUUUCUUUUGUGAUGCUCAAAUGCUAGUCAUAGGGCUCCAUUUUAAAAAAUUCUUUGUUUACACUAUUAAUCCACAUUAUAAAAUAGUCAUAAACUCCAUUUAAAAAAUUCAAAACCAUUUUGUUUCUCCUUACUAUGUAUGCUUUGUUAUGUGGAUGUAGGAAACUAUUAUGUUGUGUACUUCCUCCGUUUCUAAAUAUAAGCCCUUUUAGAGAUUUAAAUAUGCACUACAUACGGAUGUAUAUAGACAUAUUGAAAAUCUCUAAAAGGUCUUAUAUUUAGGUAUGGAGGGAGUACAUUGGAGUAAGAGUGAAAUGGGACCUCAUCAAACAUACCACUCUUCAUCGAACAUCCUGAUCAUGUGGCUGAGCUAGUUUGUUAGUACAAAUUGUCUGUUUUUUGCCCCUUACAUAAAUGAAUCACCCAUAAAUAGAUAUAAUGUUCGUUCUAGAUAGUAACAAUACCCAAAUGAUUUAGCUGGUUAUAUUGCAUUCGAAUAAUCUUUCCACUCACAUAUUCGAGAGAAUGUUGUAGGAAAUUUCAUCUCCCCCUAUGGCAAAAAUUAUACAUGAUCAAAUUGUUAUUGCAAGUUUAGUGAUGAUAUUAAGUAAAGUGUACAAAUUACAGUUCUCUUUCUGCUAAUGAAAUGGUAUUUUUACUCAUUAGAUUAGCUCAGGAGCAAAUAAUUUAAGUAUAGAUGUGUGAGACUUACACGGUUUUGUGCUCAAACUGAUUCAGACUUUGUUUGGUGUCAUCUUUCCAUCACAUAGACCUCGAUGAGCAAGAAGCACCAGCACCAAAGAUGCUCAUGUCCAAGUGGACAGGUUACGAGGAUAGAGCAAGUCUUGCUUGAUGCCAAAACCCCUGUAACUGAGUGGUAUUUCCACUCUGCUUUGCACUGAGUUUGUAUCAGAGUUGUAGAUCAUGGACCAAUCCUUGCUGAGAAUUGAAUCCAUAAUUAUGUAAUUCUGCAUAUGGUAGUUGUUAACCUGUUGUAUGCAUGUUUCUACUUAUUAAUUCUGCUUGUAAUAAGCAUAGAUUAUUGCCGGAUCUUGGUUGCUUCCCUUCCUGCCAUGCUUUUGCUAUUGGAAAGAAUUAUUGUGUUCCUGCUUAUAAGAGCUACUGUGUUUGGAUGAUGGCUAUUUUAAAAAAAUGGAUGAGGCAUGUUUCUACUUGAGUCACCUUUGUUCAUUUGGUUAAUGAUUUUGCCUGGGAUGAUCCAGUUUGACAUGUACUUGAAUGAGAU